Molecule: long non-coding RNA, 5220 nt
Filed under: Sus scrofa (pig)
Lineage: Eukaryota; Metazoa; Chordata; Mammalia; Artiodactyla; Suidae
Description: lncRNA (ENSSSCG00050007832.1)
Source: RNAcentral
CCCAUGGCAUAUGGAAGUUCCCAGGCUAGGGGUCAAAUCCAGGCUACAGCUGCCAGUCUACGCCACAGCCACAGCAAUGAGGGAUCUGACUCAUGUCUGCGACCUACACCAAGGCUCAUGGCAAUGCCAGAACCUUAACCCACUGAUCAAGGCCAGGGAUAGAACCCGCAUCCUCAUGGAUUCUAGUUGGAUUUGUCUCCACUGUGCCACAACGGGACUCCUGGUUGUGUUUUUGAUUAUAAUUCUUUUCUUCGCCACUGAGUCAAAAUUUGAAGACAUAUUAUCCACUUCCAACUGUUUUCUCCAUUUAAUGGGGUAGGUGGAUGGUAAACCUUUUCGUCAACCUUUUUUGUUCAUGUGGCAUGUCUUUCCUUGUUGUUCAGAUAGCUAAAACUAUGUUAAUUAGGUACAAAAUGCUAUUUCCCAGUUUAUAUUGAAUUUUAAAAUAAUCAUUAUUUAAAUAAAAACCAUUUGUUUUAUCCAACUGCAAUAUAAAAAUAUCUGUUAGUACCCAGGCACUAAUUAAACUUCCAAACUGCAUGCCACUGAUACAAUAUCCAAGUGUGCCUUCGGAUUAAAUAUUGGCAAUUGGUUAUUCUGCUCUCUGAAAAAUAACUUUUUCCCUUAUUAUAAAUCAUAAUAUUGCUCUUACUACAUGGCUUCUCCGCAUCUGUAAUGUUUGUUAAUGCAUUUUUAACCUCCAAGGGGAGCCAAAUCCUGGAAACAGUGUGCCUCAGACCACUUUUGGAAGCACCAAUCUGGCCAACAGAUUAUGGCUUCCUUGAGCCUUCUCAGUCCAGAAAACAGCCUUAGGUGGCCAAGGCUGACCACCAGUAAAGAAGAGUCUGUUCCAGGCUUUGAUUGGAUGCAGUCUGUUUCUUCCAUACUCAGGUGAGAAAUGUGCCCCAAGAUAUGUACAGUUCUUUCAGGCAACGUUGGACUGGACUCCAUGCAAUUUAUUCUUCAGAAAAGGCCUAUAGGGAGUCCUGGUCUCUCUGGUUUGUUCUCCCUUUGUGGAUGAACCAAUGGCAAGUUCCCUAAGAGCUGGAGGAAGGGGAAGUGUCUAUGCUCCAAUGUCCUUGGCACCUCAUUCCCCACAUGGUCCAUGGGCCCUGGACGGGCCAGUCAUCAUCCUGGCAGUCCCUCUCCUGCCUUCCUUACCUUCUCCGGUCCCCUCCAUGUGUUGAGCAGACUUUCUUCCUGCUCCUCACCUGCCCAUUUUUGGAGGAUGGGGAGGAGCGAGGUAAGGGCAGAUGAAAUUUUAAGUCCUGCUGAUUAUUGAGUCCCAAUUUUAUGAUUCAUCACAAAGAUCCUCAUGUACAGAGCACAUCUUGUGAUAUACCGAAAACACCUCCAGUUAACCCAGCCCACCCUUCAGCUCUUACUCCUCAGCCAAGGAUGGUAAUCAUUCCACAGUUGCAAACAGAUCAAAUGGAAUCAUCUCUUCCCUCAUUAAAUGAGUUAGUGUGUGUGUGUGUGUGUGUGUGUGUGUGUGUGUGUGUGUGCUGUGUAUAUAAAGAGUUUUAUUAUGACCAACUCUCAUUCCCAUGAGCCAGAGAAGGCUUUGGGGAUGCUUGAAUACACAGUGCACCUCAGCAGAAAACCAGAACAAAAAAAAUCCAAUGAUUAUCUGGGAUUUGUCUCAGAACCAGCAAACACACAAGGGGGUGAUGAUACAUACAUCUUCUGUUUUAAGGUGGAGCUAGAUGUUUCUGAAAAAAAAAAAAAUUGUAUGAGGCAUGCAAGUUUUACAGCUUCUUAGCAAUACCUUGACUUGGAUCUAGUUCUGCGCUUUUGAAUGAAGCUUUUUCAUACUGAAAACAUUGUUUAGCCCUAUUCUGGAAAUGCUAUUUGUAAUAUAAGAAAGUUCACUCUACUUUGCCAGUGACAAGAAUUUUUUGAUGAAUUUAGGUCACUCAUUGACAAAACUUCCUAAUUAACAGUAUUCUAAAGUGUUAGGGAAAUGGAUUGAGACUCCAAUAAAAUCUUAUUUUCAAGUAGUUGUUAAUGCUUCCUUUAGUGGAUGGAUAACUUUUUAUACCUUGGCUUAUUUUUGGCAUUGUGAUAAAAUCCAAUGUAACAGGAAAAAUAAGAUAAAGUUAGUAAAUAAAAAGAAGCUCACUGAAUUUAUUACAAUUAAGACAGACUCUAACCUAACAGCAUGUUAGUCAAGAUAAACUGAGCACAUCAUUCCUUACAGCUUAUGCUAAACUCUUAAAAAUGUUACAUCAGAGACUGUCUGUGAAAAUCAUAAUUAAAUUACAUUUCAUAUUUGUGAAAAGUACACAGAAUAUUCUAAUAUGUUUUCCAGUAAAACCAACAAACUGCAAGCAGGAGCAGAGGAAUUGCUAUCUAAAUAUGUGUUUACUGUCUAGUAGUGUGUUUCCAUUUUUUGUCAUGCUCAUGUCAUAUGGAAGCUCCCAGGCCAGGGAUUGAACCUAUGCCACAGCAGUGACAACACCAGAUCCUUAACCACUAGGCAACCAAGGAACUCCAGCAAUGUGUUUCCAAUAACAUUUAGAAAGACUUCUAGAAAGGAGGGAAUCUGUUUUAUUCAUCAAUAUGUCCUUAGCGUUGAAUACAGUGUCUGACACACAAUAAGUUCUCAAUAAAUAGCAUUUAAAGAAGUUAAUAAGUAAAUGUGAAAUUUCAUGACACUAAGAACACAAUAUGAUGGCAUCUAAAUGAGAGCUUCCAACAGCUUGCCUGUCACAUGAAUGAGUUCUAUAGAGUUUGUCAUCCUGUUCCUGGUCUUGGACUUCAUUUCUGGUGUGUUAUGUUCUUGGCAACAUCCAGAUGAUCAUAUGCAUAUAAGCACCUAUGGAUUUUGGAAGACUGGUUGGGAAGGAACUCUUUGAGAAAUUUUAAAAACGAACCACUAUUGGUGAAAUCAUGUCUAUCAGUAAAUAUUGCUAAAUCAUAUGGGAAUCAAAGGGGAGCAACAUUUUUUUUUUGGGGGGGGGAGUGGAAAUAACACACAUAUGUACAAUAGAGUAAAACAGGUACCGGAGAGUAAAAAUGUAUUUGCCACUCAUCAUGUACACUGCUAUGCAGUGGGAAAGUAGAAACACUAGCCACCUAAAACUCCCAGUUGAAAAAGGAAAAACGGAAGACGUUCGGCAGCUGCUGGUUUACAAUAUCGAUAUGGUGCCCACAUUAUAAACUGAACUGACAGUGGGUAAGUUUUCUUUUUCUUUUUGUCUUUUUAUGGCCACACCCAUGGCCUAUGGAGGUUCCCCGGCUAGGGGUCAAAACGGAGCUGCAGGAGCUGGCCUACGCCACAGCCACAGCAGCACAGAUCCGAGCCACGUUUGUGAACUAUAUCGCAGCUCACAGCAACGCGGGAUCCUUAACCCACUGAGUGAGGCCAGGAUCAAACCUGCAUCCUCAUGGAUACUAGUCGGGUUCAUUAACCGCGGAGCCACAAUGGGAACUCUAGGAAGUUUUCUAAUUAGAUACCACUUUCCAUUUAUUUCUAUAGCUCUGGGUUCUGACUUCAGUAGGAAAGGGGUCUGUGUUCAUUGUCCCCCACAGCUGCCUCUGAAGUGGACAUUAGGGGAUAUGCCCUCAUGAGGGUGGUACAGGUUAUUUUGGGAACAUGUUACUAUCUAUGGAAGAGUGGGAACUCAAGUAUAUUCAACUUUGAAGAAAAAAAAAUGUAGUCCCAGCUUUUGGUGUUCUAAGCAAUACCUAUGCUACGAAAUCUUAAUAAGCUUCUGAUCCUUUUCUAUCAGUUAGCUCCCUGUGCCAAUAUUCACACACAGAGUGUUUUUCUAGAUAGACGUCUCAAAUCUGCUAUAUCUUAGUGCCUCCUUCAACCCCACUGCACCUCUCUCUCUACUUACUGGUCAGCUACUUGGAAGCUACAGACUUAGAAGACCAUAACCUCAACUUGAUCUUCAUCACAAAAUGGAUGCAAGGAGUUCAUAUCUCUUAAAGAUGUUUUUUUCCUUUUGUUUCCUGCAUCCAGGAGCAGUAAGAUUUUCUCAUUCUUCAGUGUUUCAGUGUUCUGGGCUUUCUCCAUUCCCUUUUGGUCUGUUUACAAAAUGGCCAUUUUUUCCCGUGAUCUUUUCUUUUCCCUGUAAUCUCUUGCCAAAUGCCUUUAAUAGUAGCCAAAAAUCACUAAGAGUUUUCAUCUUUCCAACUACUUCUAGAUGCCUAUAAAGAGUAGCACACCUAGCUUCUAUGAGUCUAUAAUGUAAUUGGAGAAGUAGAAUAUAUAGAUUUCACUGUAAUUAAAAACAUUAGUUUCAAUAUUUACAUAUUGUCAUUACAACAUUAGUUUCAAUAUUCACUAAAUGCCUAGUACUUGAUUCAGAAAUUUAGUUCUAUUCCAGUUCAGGGAAGGAAAUAGUCACCAUCUCCAUUCAAACAAUGGAAACCACUGCAGAUUUGUGAGGGAAAGGGCAGCAUAACCAUAAGAGAGUUUUAGAAGACUUCUGGGUAACUAAGCCUUUGAUGUAAGUGAAAAAUGUGAUAUUGAUAGUCUGUAAAUUUAUGCUACACCCCGCCUGGGGCUUUAGCCUCAUUUUGCAAUGAUGUUGGAAUGGAGAAUAUCAACAAUACUUUACAGGCAGAGAUGAUCCAUGCAGUGAUCAGGUUUCUCAUUUAAUCUCUCAUUAGCUAGGAAAUAUCAGAUAGUCUGCUGAGGAAAAAAAAGAAGGCGAUAUUCUUACACCCUGCGUGUGUUUAUAAAUAUCUACUGAUACUUUAAGAUGAACAUUGAAAAUAAUUCACUAAAUGAUAGCUGUAAUGAAGUGUGAAAUAAAUUAUCGUCUUUGUUGGUGAUAAAGAUUAUUGGGCUGGGCAAAAAGCAUAUUUAUCACAUAGCCUUGACAGAACAGACCUGCUAUAAUAAAGGAACUAAAGAACAAACAAGCUGCAAGCCAAACAUAGGAAAUUAAUUUGCUAUUUAAAUCUCCAUGGUAGAUGUGACUAAGACACCUGUCAUCAGGGUCAGAAGGUGCCUUUGAGGACAUUUGGAUUCACAGACAGGAGCUCAGGGAUCCGAUCUAGCAAUGCCAACCUUCAGCUGCUUCCUCGGAGGUAAGGAAGGCACAUUUUAGUGGAGGGGCUUUCUUAGGACUUGGGUCCUAAAUGAGUUCCCGUCGUGGCACAGUGGUUAACGAAUCCGACUGGGAACCAUGAGGUUGAGGGUUCGGUCCCUGCCCUUGCUCAGUGGGUUAACGAUCCGGCGUUGCCGUGAGCUGUGGUGUAGGU